UACGACUACAUAUCAGGCAUAUCAAUAAGCGGAGGAAAAGAAACUAACAAGGAUUCCCCUAGUAACGGCGAGUGAAGCGGGAAGAGCUCAAAUUUGAAAUCUUCAAGGGUUUCCCUUGACGAAUUGUAGUUUAUAGAAGUGUUUUCUGUUAGAGAGGUGGUAAAAGUUCUUUGGAAUAGGACAUCAUAGAGGGUGAGAAUCCCGUAUUUGAUCACUUUCUACUAACGUUGUGAUACACUUUCAAAGAGUCGGAUUGUUUGGGAAUGCAGUCCAAAAUGGGUGGUAAAUUUCAUCUAAAGCUAAAUAUUGGCGAGAGACCGAUAGCGAACAAGUACCGUGAGGGAAAGAUGAAAAGAACUUUGAAAAGAGAGUUAAACAGUACGUGAAAUUGUCAAAAGGGAAGCGUUUGACACCAGUGUUGUUUAGUUGAAAAUCAAUUCAAUAGUUUUUGAUUCUAAGUAGUAUUGACUUCAUCAGCUUGCUGCUUUCUUCUCAGAAAUUAUUGAAUGCACUUUUCAGUUAACAAGUCAACAUCAAUUUCUUUUGUUGUAAAAGGAUAAGAGGAAGGUGGCUUGCGCUUCGGCUCACGUGUUUAUAGCCUUUUAUCUCUGCAAUCGGAGAGAUUGAGGCCUGCAGCGUAGAUCCUUCGGGGUUAGAUUCAUUGGUGCUAAGCUAUAGCCUUGUAUAGACAACUUGUUGACUAUGCUCAGUCAUGUAGCUUACUCGCUGAUGCUAUUUUACCUACGCUUAGGAUGUUGAUCUACAGAGCGAGAGU
RNAcentral lists this ribosomal RNA (775 nucleotides) under uncultured Neocallimastigales. RNAcentral describes it as "partial large subunit ribosomal RNA". It matches the Rfam family "Eukaryotic large subunit ribosomal RNA", at positions 24 to 632 of the family's 3401-position model. The record is from RNAcentral. Lineage: Eukaryota; Fungi; Neocallimastigomycota; Neocallimastigomycetes; Neocallimastigales.